GACGAACGCUGGCGGUGUGCCUAAUACAUGCAAGUUGAGCGCUGAAGGUUGGUACUUGUACCAACUGGAUGAGCAGCGAACGGGUGAGUAACGCGUGGGGAAUCUGCCUUUGAGCGGGGGACAACAUUUGGAAACGAAUGCUAAUACCGCAUAAAAACUUUAAACACAAGUUUUAAGUUUGAAAGAUGCAAUUGCAUCACUCAAAGAUGAUCCCGCGUUGUAUUAGCUAGUUGGUGAGGUAAAGGCUCACCAAGGCGAUGAUACAUAGCCGACCUGAGAGGGUGAUCGGCCACAUUGGGACUGAGACACGGCCCAAACUCCUACGGGAGGCAGCAGUAGGGAAUCUUCGGCAAUGGACGAAAGUCUGACCGAGCAACGCCGCGUGAGUGAAGAAGGGUUUCGGAUCGUAAAACUCUGUUGGUAGAGAAGAACGUUGGUGAGAGUGGAAAGCUCAUCAAGUGACGGUAACUACCCAGAAAGGGACGGCUAACUACGUG
This 497-nucleotide ribosomal RNA is filed under the name uncultured bacterium. Its description in RNAcentral is "partial 16S ribosomal RNA". It matches the Rfam family "Bacterial small subunit ribosomal RNA", at positions 28 to 507 of the family's 1533-position model. The record is from RNAcentral.